Molecule: ribosomal RNA, 493 nt
Filed under: Hesperomyces virescens
Lineage: Eukaryota; Fungi; Ascomycota; Laboulbeniomycetes; Laboulbeniales; Laboulbeniaceae
Description: SSU rRNA
Rfam family: Eukaryotic small subunit ribosomal RNA
Source: RNAcentral
GACUCCGGAGAGGGAGCCUGAGAAACGGCUACCACAUCCAAGGAAGGCAGCAGGCGCGCAAAUUACCCAAUCCCGAUACGGGGAGGUAGUGACAAGAAAUACCGAUUCAGGAUCUUAUUGGAUCUUGAGAUUGGAAUGAGUACAAUUCAAACCCAUUAACGAGGAACAACUAGAGGGCAAGUCUGGUGCCAGCAGCCGCGGUAAUUCCAGCUCUAGUAGCGUAUAUUAAAAUUGUUGCAGUUAAAACGCUCGUAGUUGAACUUUGGGCUUGGCUGGCUGGUCCGCCUCACCGCGUGCACUGGUCCGGCUGGGCCUUUCCUCUUGGGGAUCCACAUGCCCUUCACUUGGGUGUGUUGGGGAACCAGGACUUUUACUUUGAAAAAAUUAGGGUGUUCAAAGCAGGCAUUUGCUCGAAUACAUUAGCAUGGGAUAAUAGAAUAGGACGUGUGGUCUUAUUUUGUUGGUUUCUAGGACCGCCGUAAUGAUUGAUAGG